AUUGAACGCUGGCGGCAUGCCUUACACAUGCAAGUCGAACGGUAACGGGCCUUCGGGUGCCGACGAGUGGCGAACGGGUGAGUAAUACAUCGGAACGUGCCCGAUCGUGGGGGAUAACGAGGCGAAAGCUUUGCUAAUACCGCAUACGAUCUACGGAUGAAAGCAGGGGACCGCAAGGCCUUGCGCGGACGGAGCGGCCGAUGGCAGAUUAGGUAGUUGGUGGGAUAAAAGCUUACCAAGCCGACGAUCUGUAGCUGGUCUGAGAGGAUGAUCAGCCACACUGGGACUGAGACACGGCCCAGACUCCUACGGGAGGCAGCAGUGGGGAAUUUUGGACAAUGGGCGCAAGCCUGAUCCAGCCAUGCCGCGUGCAGGAUGAAGGCCUUCGGGUUGUAAACUGCUUUUGUACGGAACGAAAAGCCUUCUUUUAAUACAGGAGGGGCAUGACGGGACCGUAAGAAUAAGCACCGGCUAACUACGU
This 481-nucleotide ribosomal RNA is filed under the name uncultured bacterium. Its description in RNAcentral is "partial 16S ribosomal RNA". It matches the Rfam family "Bacterial small subunit ribosomal RNA", at positions 30 to 506 of the family's 1533-position model. The record is from RNAcentral.